This 468-nucleotide ribosomal RNA is filed under the name uncultured bacterium. RNAcentral describes it as "partial 16S ribosomal RNA". It matches the Rfam family "Bacterial small subunit ribosomal RNA", at positions 28 to 507 of the family's 1533-position model. The record is from RNAcentral.
GACGAACGCUGGCGGCGCGCCUAACACAUGCAAGUCGAACGGAGUCAAGAGGAGCUUGCUUUUCUUGACUUAGUGGCGAACGGGUGAGUAACGCGUGAGUAACUUGCCCUGGAGUGGGGGACAACAGUUGGAAACGACUGCUAAUACCGCAUAAGCCCACGGAUCUGCAUGGAUCUGCGGGAAAAGGAUUUAUUCGCUCUAGGAUGGACUCGCGUCCAAUUAGCUAGUUGGUGAGGUAACGGCCCACCAAGGCGACGAUUGGUAGCCGGACUGAGAGGUUGAACGGCCACAUUGGGACUGAGACACGGCCCAGACUCCUACGGGAGGCAGCAGUGGGGGAUAUUGCACAAUGGGGGAAACCCUGAUGCAGCGACGCCGCGUGGAGGAAGAAGGUUUUCGGAUUGUAAACUCCUGUCGUUAGGGACGAUAAUGACGGUACCUAACAAGAAAGCACCAGCUAACUACGUG